CCGUUAUAACCGGCGAUUUCCGAAUGGGGAAACCCAGUGUGUUUCGACACACUAUCAUUAACUGAAUCCAUAGGUUAAUGAGGCGAACCGGGGGAACUGAAACAUCUAAGUACCCCGAGGAAAAGAAAUCAACCGAGAUUCCCCCAGUAGCGGCGAGCGAACGGGGAGAAGCCCAGAGCCUGAAUCAGUGUGUGUGUUAGUGGAAGCGUCUGGAAAGGCGCGCGAUACAGGGUGACAGCCCCGUACACAAAAAUGCACAUACUGUGAGCUCGAUGAGUAGGGCGGGACACGUGGUAUCCUGUCUGAAUAUGGGGGGACCAUCCUCCAAGGCUAAAUACUCCUGACUGACCGAUAGUGAACCAGUACCGUGAGGGAAAGGCGAAAAGAACCCCGGCGAGGGGAGUGAAAAAGAACCUGAAACCGUGUACGUACAAGCAGUGGGAGCCUCUUUAUGGGGUGACUGCGUACCUUUUGUAUAAUGGGUCAGCGACUUAUAUUCUGUAGCAAGGUUAACCGAAUAGGGGAGCCGAAGGGAAACCGAGUCUUAACUGGGCGUUAAGUUGCAGGGUAUAGACCCGAAACCCGGUGAUCUAGCCAUGGGCAGGUUGAAGGUUGGGUAACACUAACUGGAGGACCGAACCGACUAAUGUUGAAAAAUUAGCGGAUGACUUGUGGCUGGGGGUGAAAGGCCAAUCAAACCGGGAGAUAGCUGGUUCUCCCCGAAAGCUAUUUAGGUAGCGCCUCGUGAAUUCAUCUCCGGGGGUAGAGCACUGUUUCGGCAAGGGGGUCAUCCCGACUUACCAACCCGAUGCAAACUGCGAAUACCGGAGAAUGUUAUCACGGGAGACACACGGCGGGUGCUAACGUCCGUCGUGAAGAGGGAAACAACCCAGACCGCCAGCUAAGGUCCCAAAGUCAUGGUUAAGUGGGAAACGAUGUGGGAAGGCCCAGACAGCCAGGAUGUUGGCUUAGAAGCAGCCAUCAUUUAAAGAAAGCGUAAUAGCUCACUGGUCGAGUCGGCCUGCGCGGAAGAUGUAACGGGGCUAAACCAUGCACCGAAGCUGCGGCAGCGACACUAAGUGUUGUUGGGUAGGGGAGCGUUCUGUAAGCCUGUGAAG
RNAcentral lists this ribosomal RNA (1118 nucleotides) under Escherichia fergusonii. RNAcentral's name for it is "partial 23S ribosomal RNA". It matches the Rfam family "Bacterial large subunit ribosomal RNA", at positions 95 to 1255 of the family's 2925-position model. Lineage: Bacteria; Pseudomonadati; Pseudomonadota; Gammaproteobacteria; Enterobacterales; Enterobacteriaceae. The record is from RNAcentral.